UUUGAAAAGUUCUUUUUAUACUAUACUAGUUAUAUUGUGUUUUCCAAAAAGAAUUCUUGCGAUCAAUUUAGUAUCAUCUAUGCAUUGUCUACUCUCGAAUAUAUAAAUAUAUAUAGGUAGUGUUUAGUGUAGGUAGGGUUUAAGCUUAGGUAGGGUUUAGGGUUAAGUAGGGUUUAGGGUUAAAAAAGGUUUAGGGUUAUAAAGGUUUUAGGGUUAGGUAGGGUUUAGGAAGUAGGCUUUAGGGUUAUGUAGGGUUAGGGUUAGGUAGGGUUUAGGGUUAGGUAGGGUUUAGGGUUAGAAAGGGUUU
RNAcentral lists this long non-coding RNA (307 nucleotides) under Brassica rapa (field mustard). RNAcentral describes it as "long non-coding RNA (BRAP_LNC001695)". Lineage: Eukaryota; Viridiplantae; Streptophyta; Magnoliopsida; Brassicales; Brassicaceae. The record is from RNAcentral.